AAAAAGGUGGCCGAGUGGUUUAAGGCGACAGCCUGUAAAGUUGUUGUGGGAACACGUCGUAGGUUCAAAUCCUACCCUU
Molecule: transfer RNA, 79 nt
Filed under: Bacteroidales bacterium
Lineage: Bacteria; Pseudomonadati; Bacteroidota; Bacteroidia; Bacteroidales
Also listed under: 1 other name
Description: tRNA-Tyr
Rfam family: tRNA
About the family: Transfer RNA (tRNA) molecules are approximately 80 nucleotides in length.
Source: RNAcentral